Molecule: ribosomal RNA, 253 nt
Filed under: uncultured bacterium
Lineage: Bacteria
Description: partial 16S ribosomal RNA
Rfam family: Bacterial small subunit ribosomal RNA
Source: RNAcentral
UACAGAGGGUGCAAGCGUUGUUCGGAAUUAUUGGGCGUAAAGCGCGUGUAGGCGGCUUUGCAAGUCGGGUGUGAAAGCCCUCAGCUCAACUGAGGAAGUGCGCCCGAAACUGCAGAGCUUGAGUGCCGGAGAGGGUGGCGGAAUUCCCCAAGUAGAGGUGGAAUUCGUAGAUAUGGGGAGGAACACCGGUGGCGAAGGCGGCCACCUGGACGGCAACUGACGCUGAGACGCGAAAGCGUGGGGAGCAAACAGG